RNAcentral lists this ribosomal RNA (1035 nucleotides) under Hirsutella versicolor. RNAcentral describes it as "SSU rRNA". It matches the Rfam family "Eukaryotic small subunit ribosomal RNA", at positions 69 to 1115 of the family's 1831-position model. The record is from RNAcentral. Lineage: Eukaryota; Fungi; Ascomycota; Sordariomycetes; Hypocreales; Ophiocordycipitaceae.
GCGAUUAUACAGCGAAACUGCGAAUGGCUCAUUAUAUAAGUUAUCGUUUAUUUGAUAGUACCUUACUACUUGGAUAACCGUGGUAAUUCUAGAGCUAAUACAUGCUAAAAAUCCCGACUUCCAGAAGGGAUGUAUUUAUUAGAUUCAAAACCAAUGCCCCCUGGGCUCACUGGUGAUUCAUGAUAACUGCUCGAAUCGCACGGCCUUGCGCCGGCGAUGGCUCAUUCAAAUUUCUUCCCUAUCAACUUUCGAUGUUUGGGUAGUGGCCAAACAUGGUUGCAACGGGUAACGGAGGGUUAGGGCUCGACCCCGGAGAAGGAGCCUGAGAAACGGCUACUACAUCCAAGGAAGGCAGCAGGCGCGCAAAUUACCCAAUCCCGACACGGGGAGGUAGUGACAAUAAAUACUGAUACAGGGCUCUUUUGGGUCUUGUAAUUGGAAUGAGUACAAUUUAAACCCCUUAACGAGGAACAAUUGGAGGGCAAGUCUGGUGCCAGCAGCCGCGGUAAUUCCAGCUCCAAUAGCGUAUAUUAAAGUUGUUGUGGUUAAAAAGCUCGUAGUUGAACCUUGGGCCUGGCUGGCCGGUCCGCCUCACCGCGUGCACUGGUCCGGCCGGGCCUUUCCCCCUGUGGAACCCCAUGCCCUUCACUGGGCGUGGCGGGGAGACAGGACUUUUACUUUGAAAAAAUUAGAGUGCUCCAGGCAGGCCUAUGCUCGAAUACAUUAGCAUGGAAUAAUGAAAUAGGACGCGCGGUUCUAUUUUGUUGGUUUCUAGGACCGCCGUAAUGAUUAAUAGGGACAGUCGGGGGCAUCAGUAUUCAGUAGUCAGAGGUGAAAUUCUUGGAUCUACUGAAGACUAACUACUGCGAAAGCAUUUGUCAAGGAUGUUUUCAUUAAUCAGGAACGAAAGUUAGGGGAUCGAAGACGAUCAGAUACCGUCGUAGUCUUAACCAUAAACUAUGCCGACUAGGGAUCGGACGAUGUUAUUCUUUGACUCGUUCGGCACCUUACGAGAAAUCAAAGUGCUUGGGCUCC